CAGCGGAGGGAUCAUUACCGAGUUUACAACUCCCAAACCCCUGUGAACAUACCUUAAUGUUGCCUCGGCGGAUCAGCCCGCGCCCCGUAAAACGGGACGGCCCGCCAGAGGACCCAAACUCUAAUGUUUCUUAUUGUAACUUCUGAGUAAAACAAACAAAUAAAUCAAAACUUUCAACAACGGAUCUCUUGGUUCUGGCAUCGAUGAAGAACGCAGCAAAAUGCGAUAAGUAAUGUGAAUUGCAGAAUUCAGUGAAUCAUCGAAUCUUUGAACGCACAUUGCGCCCGCUGGUAUUCCGGCGGGCAUGCCUGUUCGAGCGUCAUUUCAACCCUCAAGCCCCCGGGUUUGGUGUUGGGGAUCGGCUCUGCCUCACGGCGGUGCCGCCCCCGAAAUAUAUUGGCGGUCUCGCUGCAGCCUCCAUUGCGUAGUAGCUAACACCUCGCAACUGGAACGCGGCGCGGCCAUGCCGUAAAACCCCAACUUCUGAAUGUUGACCUCGGAUCAGGUAGGAAUACCCGCUGAACUUAA
Molecule: ribosomal RNA, 528 nt
Filed under: Ophiocordyceps sinensis
Lineage: Eukaryota; Fungi; Ascomycota; Sordariomycetes; Hypocreales; Ophiocordycipitaceae
Description: eukaryotic LSU rRNA
Rfam family: 5.8S ribosomal RNA (bases 169-322)
Source: RNAcentral